CGGGUGGGGGGCGGCGGCUAACACAUGCAGUCGAGCGGAUGAGGGUAGCUUGCUACCUGAUUCAGCGGCGGACGGGUGAGUAAUGCCUAGGAAUCUGCCCGGUAGUGGGGGACAACGUUUCGAAAGGAACGCUAAUACCGCAUACGUCCUACGGGAGAAAGUGGGGGAUCUUCGGACCUCACGCUAUCGGAUGAGCCUAGGUCGGAUUAGCUAGUUGGUGAGGUAAUGGCUCACCAAGGCGACGAUCCGUAACUGGUCUGAGAGGAUGAUCAGUCACACUGGAACUGAGACACGGUCCAGACUCCUACGGGAGGCAGCAGUGGGGAAUAUUGGACAAUGGGCGAAAGCCUGAUCCAGCCAUGCCGCGUGUGUGAAGAAGGUCUUCGGAUUGUAAAGCACCUUAAGUUGGGAGGAAGGGCAGUAAGUUAAUACCUUGCUGUUUUGACGUUACCAACAGAAUAAGCACCGGCUAACUUCGUGCCAGCAGCCGCGGUAAUACGAAGGGUGCAAGCGUUAAUCGGAAUUACUGGGCGUAAAGCGCGCGUAGGUGGUUCAGCAAGUUGGAUGUGAAAGCCCCGGGCUCAACCUGGGAACUGCAUCCAAAACUACUGAGCUAGAGUACGGUAGAGGGUGGUGGAAUUUCCUGUGUAGCGGUGAAAUGCGUAGAUAUAGGAAGGAACACCAGUGGCGAAGGCGACCACCUGGACUGAUACUGACACCGAGGUGCGAAAGCGUGGGGAGCAAACAGGAUUAGAUACCCUGGUAGUCCACGCCGUAAACGAUGUCAACUAGCUGUUGGGUUCCUUGAGAACUUAGUAGCGCAGCUAACGCGAUAAGUUGACCGCCUGGGGAGUACGGCCGCAAGGUUAAAACUCAAAUGAAUUGACGGGGGCCCGCACAAGCGGUGGAGCAUGUGGUUUAAUUCGAAGCAACGCGAAGAACCUUACCUGGCCUUGACAUGCUGAAGAACUUUCCAGAGAUGGAUUGGUGCCUUCGGGAACCUCAGACACAGUG
Molecule: ribosomal RNA, 1014 nt
Filed under: uncultured bacterium
Lineage: Bacteria
Description: bacterial SSU rRNA
Rfam family: Bacterial small subunit ribosomal RNA
Source: RNAcentral